RNAcentral lists this long non-coding RNA (990 nucleotides) under Physcomitrium patens. Its description in RNAcentral is "long non-coding RNA (PPAT_LNC011040)". The record is from RNAcentral. Lineage: Eukaryota; Viridiplantae; Streptophyta; Bryopsida; Funariales; Funariaceae.
UAUUUAAAACGCCUUCAACACAUGGACAUUUGUGGGACAAUACAAUCUUAGGAAAACUUAUCCGUGGACAAUGAAAUGGAAAUCAAUUGACAACCCCAAAAUGAAAAAGAACAUGCACUUUGAUUGUACAAUUCUACAUCAAACAUGUAAUAAAAACUAUAUCUCUAGAUGCAAGUGCAACUAUCAUACAACAAUUUCAAAAUGUUGACUAAAGCACGGUGAUGAAGACAAAUAAAAAUUCACAAAAUUAUACCUUCACUUUAAGCAAAAUCAUACCCUACAUGAUUGAAGCACUCAAGUGUUCAAAUUCCCGUGAAGUGAAUUUUCUGACCCAUUCUCAUGCUUCGCCACCUCCUAAUCCCCACAACAACAAAGCCGAAACCCAGCAAUCAAGCAACAAACACCAUUAAUCCAAACUGGGUCAAGACAUCAGCCAUCAAAACUUCAAAGUAGAGGAGCUUAAAAUAGAGACACAAGAGUUGGCCGAAUGGCAUUUGCUGCCAUGUGAAACAAAACCAAGGACACCAAGAAUGGAUAAAAUUUCGCUAAAGAUAGCGGAGCGGGCCCGGCAAAAAAAGCAAGAAAGCAACAAUAGAGCAACAAAAAGACAGGUGAUGCAAGGGACAGAGAAGGCAAAGGAAGAGAAUAGGGCACCUUCAAGGGGAGUAGGGAAUGAAAGCGUGAGAAGCAGCCGUAGCCGCGACGCAGCGACUGGCGCAGGAAACCGUCCACAAGCCAGUGAUGGGCAACGGCAAGGUCGCGAUCAGACAGUGACCUUAGGACAGAGGGGGCACGGAACGGCGUUGAUGAUGCGCAAAAGCGACAUCGAGCCAGGAGCAGUGUAGUUCUGCCUGCCUCCCUGCCUGCUUGCCUGCACUGCCCACAAAGAGCAAUCCCUGCGAGGGACGUAGAUUUCCUCCACUCACCACACAAGCGCCAGGCAGCAAGACAACAAACGCCGCAACGCGAAUGCGUGGCGCUCGUGCGCGG